GCUGGGUGUGGUGGCACAUGCCUUUAAUCCCAGCACUUGGGAGGCAGAGGCAGGUGGAUCUUUGUGAGUUCAAGGCCAGCCUGGUCUACAUAGUGAGUUCUAGGACAGCUGGGGCUACAGGGAGACCCUGUCUCAAAGAGACAUAAAAAAGAAAAAAAAAAAAAAGACUAAUCUCACUAUGUAGUCCUGGCUGGCCUAGAACUCACUAUGUAGACCUGGCUGGCCUAGAACUCAUAGAGAUCUACCUGUAUCA
Molecule: small RNA, 253 nt
Filed under: Nannospalax galili (Upper Galilee mountains blind mole rat)
Lineage: Eukaryota; Metazoa; Chordata; Mammalia; Rodentia; Spalacidae
Description: Metazoan signal recognition particle RNA (ENSNGAG00000006782.1)
Source: RNAcentral